This 253-nucleotide ribosomal RNA is filed under the name uncultured bacterium. RNAcentral describes it as "partial 16S ribosomal RNA". It matches the Rfam family "Bacterial small subunit ribosomal RNA", at positions 524 to 776 of the family's 1533-position model. The record is from RNAcentral.
UACGGAGGGUGCAAGCGUUAAUCGGAAUUACUGGGCGUAAAGCGUGCGCAGGCGGUUUGUUAAGUCCGUUGUGAAAGCCCCGAGCUCAACUUGGGAAUUGCAGUGGAUACUGGCAAGCUGGAGUAUGGUAGAGGAAGGUGGAAUUCCCGGUGUAGCAGUGAAAUGCGUAGAGAUCGGGAGGAACACCAGUGGCGAAGGCGGCCUUCUGGACCAAUACUGACGCUCAUGCACGAAAGCGUGGGGAGCAAACAGG